UUCAGAAGGCCUCUGCAAUGAAGUGGUAGAUAAGUUGGUGAAUCAGCUGAAGUUUUGUCCUGGCUUUCACUCACAUCACCAGCAGCCAAGCCUGGAAGUGAGGAACUCAUGCAUCACUGUGUCAAGGGUUGGACAAUUGCUUCUUUUCAAGUGAGGCAGAAUGGUCUAGUGGACUGCACCCAGGGCUGGAGCCAAGAACUGCUGAGGUCUAAUCCUGCAACUGACACAGUGUGUGACUUUGAGUUCUUCUCAAACACUCUCCAGUUUGCCAAUAUCCUUCUGGAAUUGUGGAUGCCAGAACUGGACACAGUAUUCGAGCAGUGAUCACACCAGUGCCAAAUACAGAGCUGCAUGUGUUUCAAGGAUCACAGGAUCUUCUCCUUCCCAGAGGCUAGCGAAGAUUAGAAGGCGAAAAAAAUGCACUUGCGAUUAAAUGUUCUCUGAGCUUAUGCUGUCCUCCCACACUGACAGAGCACAGACGAAUGCAUGGAGGCAGACAAUGUCAGAGAGCAGGAAAGCACAAAAUGACCGGGAGGAGAGGUGGCGGGCUGAAGAGAGUAAGUGGAGGGCUGAAGAGAGGGCUGAAGCUGAAAGGUGGUGGCAGCAUGAUGAGAGAAGGCAGGAUUCAAUGCUGAGGCUGCUGGAGGAUCACACUAAUAUGCUCCAGCAUAUGGCUGAGCUGCAGGAAAGGCAGCAGGAGCACAGACCGCUGCUACAGCCCCUGUGUAACCAACCACCCUCCUUCCCAACUUCCAUAGCCUCCUCACCCAGAUGCCCAAGAACAUGGUGGGGGGCCCUCCGGCCACCCAGCCACUCCACCCCAGAGGAUUGCCCAAGCAACAGAAGGCUGGCAUUCAAUAAGUUUUAAAGUUUUAAACUUUUAAAGUUCUGUGUGGCCUUGUCCUUCCCUCCUCCACCACCCCUCCCAGGCUGCCUUGGCAGUUAUCCCCCUAUUUGUGUGAUGAAUUAAUAAAGAACGCAUGAAUGUGAAGCAAAAAUGACUUUAUUGCCUCUGCAAGUGGUGAUCGAAGGGAGGAGGGGAGGGUGGUUAGCUCACAGGGUAGUAGAGUGAACCAAGGGGAUGGGGAGGGUUCAUCAAGGAGAAACAAACAGAAUUUUCA
Molecule: long non-coding RNA, 1121 nt
Organism: Caretta caretta (loggerhead turtle)
Lineage: Eukaryota; Metazoa; Chordata; Testudines; Cheloniidae
Source: RefSeq, a predicted model, not a curated record